GACAAGCGAUACCAAGCUCCUGGAGCACUGAUGAGGGCGACAGAGAGGAGGAGAAGAAGAGCGGGAGGAAAAAAGAAGGAGAUGAGUAAAGAAGAAAGUGAGUGAGAAAGUGAAUAAAGAGUUGGAAAUGCAGAGCAUGGAAAGUAGGAGAGUAAGAGAAAGAUGAGGAGAAAGAAGAAGAACGUAGUAGAAAAAGAGGCAGGAAGUAUGAAGAUAUAGCACGGGAAGAUAAACACUAUAGAAACAAAAAAGAGUGUUCAGGAAGCAGAGGAGGGAGUUUUGAGUGAUAGCGAACAUACUGUAGAUGAAAGCUGUCGGAGGAGUGGGACGCUGAGAAGCGUCAGCAUUGUCAGAGCAUGUUCAGCCCUCAGGGACAGCCAGGGGCCAGCUGUCAGCCUUUAUUUGGAGAGCAGAAGCUUUUCCACACUACCUGAAAUCAGCUGAGAGGUUAAGUUGUGGUGUGUGCAAGCUGCCAGCAUCAGAUCAUCGUCCUCAAAGUGUGGGGGCAAGAAGGAAAGAUGUUGGGUGCCCCCCCGGUGGAGACUGUGUACUGUGUGCAAAGUGCUCCCUGCUCUCCUUUCAGUGUUUGUUAGUUAAUCACCAUCUGCUGCUGCUGCAGUUAGUUGUAUAGCAAGAGUGGAGAGGAAAGCUAGAAGCCAGGGAACCACUGCACACAUUCAUAUACUUUGAUGAUGCGGGUUUCAAUCUGGCCGAAGGCAGAAGGCGUGGAAGAAAUUGCAUUGGACAGAGAGCAACCACUGAAGUCCCAAGCCGGCGCGGAGGGAAUGUUACAAUGUGUGCAGCCAUCUCAGACAAUGGCAUUCUCACCCAUAUUCCCCUUCUUGGUCCAUAGAAUACACAACAUCUCCUGACUUUUUUAGACACUCUUUACAGGUACAUAGUCCCUGAGAAUGAGAGGGGUGGAGGCCAACUCAACAAGUAUGUUGUUGUGUGGGAUAAUGUCAGUUUUCACUACUCACAUCUGGUCAGACAGUGGUUUGCAGCACAUGACAGAAUGCUGGUUCAAUAUCUCCCUCCCUACUCCCCAUUCCUUAAUCUGAUAGAGGAGUUUUUCUCUGCCUGGUGGUGGAAGUUUUAUGACUGGCAUUCACAUGUGCAAAUGGCCCUGCUAGCAGCCAUGGAUGCAGCAUGUGACAACAUCACAGCAGAGUGGAGAGGGUGGAGCAUUUUCUUGAGCAUUUUCAGGUAGUGUCACCAAGUUCUGACCUUUUUUUGCAUUGGAAAACACUGAGUGAAUACUGUACACUGUCAUAAUGAAAACAUGACAAAGCCAUUUGACUAUCUUGUUCAUAAAGAUGGUGUCACGACUUCUCAUUUUGAUGACACUGGCAGUUUCAUUGACAUGAAUACUUGCUUUUGAGGAAUGGAUUAUCCAUUUUGAGCAAGUGACCUGCUUUUGCAGGUUAUCCACUAGGUUUUGCAGUUUGCACCAAUUGUUUUGAGAAAUACACUAAGUGCUGUGCAAAUAUUAAUAGUGAUGUGAGAAACGCACCAAAGCGACUGAGAAAAACUGUAAAUGGCUAAAUUACCUCCUCAACAUGUUUUGAAGUUCUCCAGAGGCCUGGUAAUGAACUAAUCAUUUGAUUAAGGAAUGACAUACUAUAAGAGUGAAUAAAUGACUAAUGGCUAAAGAAAAAACAGUAUUUGUAUAUGUCUCUCGUAUUA
Pelmatolapia mariae (spotted tilapia) is the source of this 1686-nucleotide long non-coding RNA. RefSeq lists it as uncharacterized. The transcript is spliced from 4 exons. Lineage: Eukaryota; Metazoa; Chordata; Actinopteri; Cichliformes; Cichlidae. The record is from RefSeq and is a predicted model, not a curated record.